This 59-nucleotide transfer RNA is filed under the name Paroedura sp. 1 EG-2007. RNAcentral describes it as "tRNA-Ser". The record is from RNAcentral. Lineage: Eukaryota; Metazoa; Chordata; Lepidosauria; Squamata; Gekkonidae.
GAAGAUGACAACGCUAAUCUGCUAAAUUAGUAGUCCAGAAGUAACCCCCUGGCAUCCUC